This 75-nucleotide ribosomal RNA is filed under the name Parengyodontium album. Its description in RNAcentral is "partial 5.8S ribosomal RNA". It matches the Rfam family "5.8S ribosomal RNA", at positions 83 to 154 of the family's 154-position model. From Rfam's summary of the family: 5.8S ribosomal RNA (5.8S rRNA) is a component of the large subunit of the eukaryotic ribosome. It is transcribed by RNA polymerase I as part of the 45S precursor that also contains 18S and 28S rRNA. Functionally, it is thought that 5.8S rRNA may be involved in ribosome translocation. Lineage: Eukaryota; Fungi; Ascomycota; Sordariomycetes; Hypocreales; Cordycipitaceae. The record is from RNAcentral.
AGUGAAUCAUCGAAUCUUUGAACGCACAUUGCGCCCGCCAGAAUUCUGGCGGGCAUGCCUGUUCGAGCGUCAUUU